Nicotiana tabacum (common tobacco) is the source of this 664-nucleotide non-coding RNA. Lineage: Eukaryota; Viridiplantae; Streptophyta; Magnoliopsida; Solanales; Solanaceae. The record is from RefSeq and is a predicted model, not a curated record.
CUCUCUCAUCUCUCGUCUCUUUCAACUCACUUCUUCAGAGACCACUCCAAAGAACCCUAGAGCCGCCUGAAAUUUCCACCGUCUCCACCGGCGGCGCCUAUCCCAAUCCCACCCAAAUUAACACCCUAGGAACGCCUCACUCCCCUCAUCUCAAAUCCACACUCUGUUUGCUUCAAAUCCCCUUGAAUCUUCUCGAAUAUCAGAUCAAAGGGGAACCCUAAAAUCCAAGUUGUCCAAAUUCGAGUUUGCUUUGAAGUUUUGGGGUCAUUCUGAUGUUAUUCAUAUGUUUUGAUGAAAAAUAAACAUGCGAGUAGUCUCAGAUUGAGCCAGAAAUAUGAGGAUUGGAAAAUUCGUCAAAUGCUUUUAUGGUCUGAAACCUUCGUAGGUACAUUUUUUAACUCUAUCCAAUGUAAAAACAUUGUGAUAUGGAAAUCUGGAAGAUUUGAAGCAUAUUGGCCAUUUGCUCUCUUUGUAGGAGUUUAACUUUGUCUCCAUUUUGAAACUUUAGUUGUAAGAUGUUUACGCUUAUAUGCUAGUUAGUGACAGUGCUCUUUAGGGGUUGGGUUUUGGUUUGAAAUGGACAUGAGGUUCAAUUUUCUGUCAAAUGCUCUGUAAUUUGAAAAUCAGUACUAGAUAAAUGAACUUUUGUCAUGAUCUUUGGUUU